RNAcentral lists this transfer RNA (76 nucleotides) under Escherichia coli. RNAcentral describes it as "tRNA-Met(cat)". It matches the Rfam family "tRNA". From Rfam's summary of the family: Transfer RNA (tRNA) molecules are approximately 80 nucleotides in length. Their secondary structure includes four short double-helical elements and three loops (D, anti-codon, and T loops). RNAcentral also lists the same sequence under 2 other names. The record is from RNAcentral. Lineage: Bacteria; Pseudomonadati; Pseudomonadota; Gammaproteobacteria; Enterobacterales; Enterobacteriaceae.
GGCCCUUUAGCUCAGUGGUUAGAGCAGGCGACUCAUAAUCGUCCGGUCGCUGGUUCAAGUCCAGCAAGGGCCUCCA